Molecule: ribosomal RNA, 492 nt
Filed under: uncultured bacterium
Lineage: Bacteria
Description: partial 16S ribosomal RNA
Rfam family: Bacterial small subunit ribosomal RNA
Source: RNAcentral
AGUGAACGCUGGCGGUAGGCCUAACACAUGCAAGUCGAACGGCAGCACAGUAAGAGCUUGCUCUUACGGGUGGCGAGUGGCGGACGGGUGAGGAAUACAUCGGAAUCUACUUUUUCGUGGGGGAUAACGUAGGGAAACUUACGCUAAUACCGCAUACGACCUACGGGUGAAAGAAGGGGAUCUUCGGACCUUGCGCGAUUGAAUGAGCCGAUGUCGGAUUAGCUAGUUGGCGGGGUAAAGGCCCACCAAGGCGACGAUCCGUAGCUGGUCUGAGAGGAUGAUCCGGCACACUGGAACUGAGACACGGUCCCGACUCCUACGGGAGGCAGCCGUGGGGAAUAUUGGACAAUGGGCGCAAGCCUGAUCCAGCCAUACCGCGUGGGUGAAGAAGGCCUUCGGGUUGUAAAGCCCUUUUGUUGGGAAAGAAAAGCAGCAGGUUAAUACCCCGCUGUUCUGACGGUACCCAAAGAAUAAGCACCGGCUAACUUCGUG